Molecule: long non-coding RNA, 212 nt
Filed under: Gossypium barbadense (sea-island cotton)
Lineage: Eukaryota; Viridiplantae; Streptophyta; Magnoliopsida; Malvales; Malvaceae
Description: long non-coding RNA (GBAR_LNC002644)
Source: RNAcentral
CCAAAUCACGUAACUUGUCUGAAGGACCAAAUCACAAAUGCAGCAAAACUUCUGGGGCUAAAUGUAAUUUUUAGAAAAUUUAGGAUUAAAAUGAAAUUUAAUGAAAAUUUAAGGGUCUAAGUGAAAUUUAAAGAAAGUUUAAGGGUCAAAAUGAAAUUUAGGAAAAGUUUAGGGGUCAAAAUGCAAUUUUUAUUUUUUAAAAUUUUUUUUUU